AUCAAAUUCAUGAGGUAGAAUGUUGGAUGACUAAGGUAAAGGUAACAUAUCAGAGCUGUUCAAUUUUCUGCCUUUAAAAUUUGAU
This 85-nucleotide microRNA precursor is filed under the name Schmidtea mediterranea. Its description in RNAcentral is "let-7a stem-loop (sme-let-7a)". Its record names the gene sme-let-7a. Lineage: Eukaryota; Metazoa; Platyhelminthes; Tricladida; Dugesiidae. The record is from miRBase by way of RNAcentral.